Molecule: ribosomal RNA, 484 nt
Filed under: uncultured bacterium
Lineage: Bacteria
Description: partial 16S ribosomal RNA
Rfam family: Bacterial small subunit ribosomal RNA
Source: RNAcentral
AUUGAACGCUGGCGGCAGGCCUAACAUAUGCAAGUCGAGCGGAUGAAGGGAGCUUGCUCCUGGAUUCAGCGGCGGACGGGUGAGUAAUGCCUAGGAAUCUGCCUGGUAGUGGGGGAUAACGUCCGGAAACGGGCGCUAAUACCGCAUACGUCCUGAGGGAGAAAGUGGGGGAUCUUCGGACCUCACGCUAUCAGAUGAGCCUAGGUCGGAUUAGCUAGUUGGUGGGGUAAAGGCCUACCAAGGCGACGAUCCGUAACUGGUCUGAGAGGACGAUCAGUCACACUGGAACUGAGACACGGUCCAGACUCCUACGGGAGGCAGCAGUGGGGAAUAUUGGACAAUGGGCGAAAGCCUGAUCCAGCCAUGCCGCGUGUGUGAAGAAGGUCUUCGGAUUGUAAAGCACUUUAAGUUGGGAGGAAGGGCAGUAAGUUAAUACCUUGCUGUUUUGACGUUACCAACAGAAUAAGCACCGGCUAACUUCGUG